UUCUAUUAAAGCACAGACAUAUACUCACUUUAACAUUGGAUAAGAAAAAAUAUCAAAGAUGAGUAACUUUGAAGAGAAAAAGCCACAUGCAGUGUUAACUCCAUUUCCAAUUUAAGGCCAUAUCAAUCCAUUGUUGAAACUAGGAAAAUUACUUCACCUUAGAUGUUACAUGUUAAUAUUUAAUUUAAUUAUCAUUAACUAUAACCUAUUAGUUAGCCUGCUUAUUAGUAUUCUAUUCAAUUGUAUUUAUACAUGUUGAUUAGUCUUCUCUUUAUUUUAGUGUAUAAAUAAACCUGUCAUGUACUUUUACACAUAGAUCAAUGAGAAUUAUAUAUCACUUGUCUUUCUAUUUUCUACUGUGUUCUAAAUAUUAACAUGGUAUCAGUUGUGAAUCUCUUCAUCAAUUUCUCUUGUUGAUCGAUUCAUCUCAAGAAUCCUCUUUAUUAUUCAAUUUCUGAAUUUUUAUUUUCAGUUUUCAUUCCGCUGUUCAUUUGAUUCCUUGAUUAUUUGAUUUCUUUCAUCUCUAUGGAGAAUCCACCAUUUUUUGAUUUUGCAACCAAUCCUUCAAAUCCUUACUACUUGCAUCCUAAUGAAAAUCCAUCACUUGUUCUUGUUACUCCAUCAUUGGAUAACAAGAAUUACCAGACUUGGUCGCAAUCUAUGCGGGUCGCCUUAAUUUCCAAGAACAAAUUGAAAUUUGUUGAUGGCACCCUAAAUCCUCCUCCUGUUUCAAAUCUCCUUCAUGAACCAUGGUUAAGAUGUAACAACAUGGUUCUGUCUUGGCUUCAACGAUGUAUUUCUGAAACCAUUGUGAAAUCAAUCAUUUGGUGUGAUCGAGCCUCCGUGGUUUGGAAGCGAUUGGAGAACCGUUUUGCACAGGGUGAUAUUUUCAGAGUUGCUGAUAUUCUUGAGGAAUUGGCUAAAUUUCAACAAGGUAAUCUUGAUAUCUCCUCCUAUUUUACACAAUUAACCACUUUGUGGGAAGAAAUUCAGAACUUCCGGCCAAUUCGUGAUUGCACUUGUGCCAUCCCUUGCACUUGUGGUGUUGCUUCUGAUCUCAAAAAGUAUAAUGAGCAAGACAAAGUAAUUAAGUUUUUGAAAGGUUUGAAUGAGCAAUAUGCACAUGUGCGCUCUCAGAUUAUGCUAAUUAAUCCUUUGCCUGAACUGGAUAAGACUUUUUCUCUUGUACUUCAACAAGAAAGACAAACACAUAUUCCUGUUUUUGGUGAAAUUCCUGUUGAUCAACAAUCAGCUGUUAAUCAAGUUCAGCAAACCAAUUCUAACAAAGGUUUUGCUCAUGGUGGUUCUUCUAGCUAUAGAGGUCGAGGUAAAGGAUCUUAUAAUGGAACAAGAGGACAGAAUCAAGGCAUUACUCGCACUUGUAGUCAUUGUGGAAGACAUAAUCAUACAAUUGAGACUUGUUUCCUUCUCCAUGGCUAUCCUCCUGGUUAUCAAAACAAAGGUCCUAAGUCAGCGAAUCUUGCGGUUUCUGAACAAAAGUAUACUGAUGCUGUCCAGAACCAAGGAUCUGUUAGCAGCCCUUCACUGAAUUCUAUCCAUGAGCAAUAUAAUCAGAUUUUGCAGCUUCUACAACAUUCAAAUUUGCAAGCUUCAACGUCAAACACCAAUGCUACUAUGCCUCAGCCUGCUGUCAAUUCAGUUAUCUCACUUCCCGCAGCUUAUACUUCCACAUCCACUCCCAUAAUCGGUAAGAAAUCUACUCUUUGGGUCAUAGACUCAGGAGCAACUGAUCAUAUCACUCACUGUUUGCAAAAUUUUUCUUCUUUCUACAACAUUCCACCUAUCUCCAUGUCACUACCAAAUGGUAAUAAAAUAGUGACAACCAUAGCAGGCACAGUAUCCUUAUCCAAUUCACUUAUCCUUCAUAAUGUUUACUACAUUCCUGAUUUCAACAUCAAUUUAUUUUCAAUAUCUCAAUUUUUGAAAACUUCUAAUGCCAGUUUCUUGUUUUCUAUUGAUACAUGUUCUAUUGUGCAGAUUUUGAAUCAGAGAGUGAUUGGUACAGCUAAGAAGUUUGGAGGACUGUAUGUGUUGGAUUCUUCACUUCUAAAUAAAUCUCAAAAUAAUGGUUUAGUUUCUGCUUCAAUUUGUAAUUCUGUUUUUCCAAGUUUGUCGUCUAAGUCAACUGAUUCUGCAAAUGUUUGGCAUUAUAGAUUGGGUCACAUUUCGGAUUCCAUACACAAAUGUAUUUCCAUUCAGUUUCCCAUUGUAAAAUACACCAGUACCCACUCUCCUUGUGAUAUAUGCCAUUAUGCAAAACAUAAGAAAACAUCAUUUCCUCAUAGUCUUAUUCAUUCCACUCAAAUAUUUGAUAUACUACAUGUUGAUAUUUGGGGACCCUAUGCUACCCCUUCUGUUUCCGGAUUUAAAUAUUUUUUAACCUUGGUUGAUGACUUUAGUAGAUUUACAUGGGUCAUUUUUAUGAAAUGUAAAGGUGAAACAAGAAAUCAUCUCAUGAAUUUCAUUUCUUUCAUUGAUACUCAAUUCCAUAAGAAACUUAAAUGCUUGAGAAGUGAUAAUGGACUUGAGUUCAUCAUGCCUUCAUUUUAUCUUUCUAAAGGCAUCAUUCAUCAAAGGUCUUGUGUUGAGACUCCUCAACAAAAUGGUAUUGUAGAAAGGAAGCAUCAACAUAUCCUUAAUGUGGCUCGAGCCCUCUCCUUUCAAUCUCAUAUCCCUACCAAUUUUUGGCAUUUUUCAAUUCAACAAGCUGUCCAUAUCAUUAAUCGAAUCCCAACUCCCCUUCUACAAAAUAAAUCCCCAUAUGAAUGUCUUCACCAACAACAACCUUCUUUAAUUCACCUAAAAGUCUUCGGUUGCCUUGCUUUUGCCUCCACCAUCCAAAGUCAUAGAACCAAAUUUGAUUCUAGAGCAAGAAAAUCAGUUUUUCUUGGAUAUAGAGAAGGCACCAAGGGUUACCUUCUUUAUGAUCUUCAUUCACAUGAAUUUUUCUUAUCAAGAAAUGUCAUCUUUCAUGAAUCAUCUUUUCCAUUUUCUACAUUGCAUGAACGAUGUUCCCCUGAUUCCUCUACACCUCAUGUCUCCGUUGAUAAUUCACAUCUUUCUUCCUAUCAUGAACCCAUCCAAUCAUCUGUUAUUCCAAAUUCUUCUUUUCCUCUCUCUCAAAACCUUGAUAAUUCUGAUACUUCUACAACACAUAAUUCUACCCCUCCUAAUGCUACAUCUUCUGCAACAGCUAUUCCAGAUCAGACCACAACAGAUGUACCUAUUCGACGAUCUGCACGACCUAAAACAACACCGGCAUAUCUUAAAGACUAUCACUGCAGUCUCCUUACUUCUUCUGAAUCACAAUUACUCUCUGACUCAGGUAAAUCGGCAUAUCCUCUCUUUUCUGUUUUGACAUAUGAUCAUUGCACUCCUUCAUAUAAAAAAUUUUGUCUAACUGUUUCUUCUAACCCUGAACCUAAGACCUAUAAUCAAGCUUGUAAGAUUGAAUGUUGGAAAGAAGCUAUGAAAGAUGAGUUACAUGCUCUUGCAGCCACAAAUACUUGGUCAAUUGUUGAUUUACCACCAGGAAAAGUUCCAAUUGGAUGCAAGUGGGUUUACAAAACUAAAUACCACUCUGAUGGUUCUCUUGAAAGGCAUAAAGCCCGGUUAGUUGCAAAGGGUUAUACUCAAAUGGAAGGAGUUGAUUACUUUGAUACUUUUUCACCGGUUGCAAAAAUGACUACAGUUAGAACAUUACUUUCUUUGGCAGCCAUCAAAGGGUGGUUUCUUGAGCAACUUGAUGUCAAUAAUGCAUUUCUCCAUGGUGACCUCAAUGAAGAAGUUUACAUGGUGUUACCCCCUGGUCUGAAGCUUCAAAAUUCAGAUUCUAAUGAUCUUAAAGUUUGUCGGUUAAAUAAGAGUCUCUAUGGCUUGAAGCAAGCUAGUAGGCAAUGGUAUGCCAAACUUUCUGCAGCGUUGGUUUCUCUCGGAUACACUCCUUCUGUUGCUGAUUCUUCUUUGUUCACUAAGCUAAAAGGUACCAAUUUUACUGCCUUAUUAGUUUAUGUGGACGACAUAGUUUUAUCAGGAAAUGAUUAUGCUGAAAUUCAGCAUGUUAAGCAGUUUUUGGAUCAAAAAUUUCGCAUCAAAGACCUUGGGAAGCUAAGAUUUUUUCUUGGCUUGGAAAUAGCAGGAUCAAACAAAGGAAUUUCGGUGAAUCAACGCAAAUAUACUCUUGAGCUUCUUGAAGAUAGUGGUCACAUGGCUGUUAAGCCUAGUUCCACUCCCUAUGAUACCUCCUUAAAGUUGCAUAAUUCUGAUUCCCCUCCAUAUCAUGAUGAAUUCUCCUUCAGAAGUUUGAUUGGUAGACUUCUCUAUUUGACACUCACGCGGCCUGACAUUGCUUUUGCUGUUCAACAACUUAGUCAAUUUGUUUCCAAGCCCCGUGAAGUCCACUUUCAAGCUGCUACAAAGAUUCUGAAGUAUCUCAAGAACUCUCCAGCCAAAGGGUUAUUCUAUUCAUCUUCAUCUCCCGUCAAACUUGCAGGUUUUGCUGAUUCAGAUUGGGCUAGCUGUCCCUCUACUAGACGAUCUGUCUCCGGUUUUUGUGUGUUUCUUGGCUCUUCCCUCAUCUCAUGGAAGUCUAAGAAGCAAACAACUGUUUCUAGAUCCAGCUCUGAAUCUAAGUAUAGAGCCUUGGCCAGCCUUACUUGUGAAUUACAAUGGCUCUCCUAUUUGUUCAAGGAUCUUCAUAUCAACUUUCAACAACCAGCUUCAGUAUAUUGUGACAAUAAAUCAGCCAUAUAUCUUGCUCAUAAUCCAACAUUUCAUGAGAGAACAAAACACAUUGAGAUUGAUUGUCAUGUUGUGCGCGAAAGAAUUCAAAGUGGUCUCAUUCAUCUCUUUCCCGUGCCAUCUUCUUCUCAAAUAGCAGAUUUGUUGACAAAACCACUUCUGUCUCCAGCUUUCAAUUCCUUGGUUUCCAAGCUUAGCCUAUGUGAUCUUCAUAGUCCAGCUUGUGGGGGGAUGUUACAUGUUAAUAUUUAAUUUAAUUAUCAUUAACUAUAACCUAUUAGUUAGCCUGCUUAUUAGUAUUCUAUUCAAUUGUAUUUAUACAUGUUGAUUAGUCUUCUCUUUAUUUUAGUGUAUAAAUAAACCUGUCAUGUACUUUUACACAUAGAUCAAUGAGAAUUAUAUAUCACUUGUCUUUCUAUUUUCUACUGUGUUCUAAAUAUUAACAUUAGAGGAUUUCACAUAACCUUUGUCAACACCGAAUACAAUCACAAACGCUUGCUCAAAUCAAGAGGUCCAAAUGCCUUUGAUGGUUUCAAUGAUUUUACCUUUGAGACCAUACCAGAUGGUUUAACUCCGGUGGAAGGUGAUGGUGAUGUUAGUCAAGACUUACGCG
Molecule: long non-coding RNA, 5374 nt
Filed under: Medicago truncatula (barrel medic)
Lineage: Eukaryota; Viridiplantae; Streptophyta; Magnoliopsida; Fabales; Fabaceae
Description: long non-coding RNA (MTRU_LNC003835)
Source: RNAcentral